This 492-nucleotide ribosomal RNA is filed under the name uncultured bacterium. RNAcentral's name for it is "partial 16S ribosomal RNA". It matches the Rfam family "Bacterial small subunit ribosomal RNA", at positions 29 to 507 of the family's 1533-position model. The record is from RNAcentral.
AAUGAACGCUGGCGGCAGGCCUAACACAUGCAAGUCGAACGGCAGCACAGUAAGAGCUUGCUCUUAUGGGUGGCGAGUGGCGGACGUGUGAGGCAUAUAUCCGACUCUACUUUUUCGUGGGGGUUAACGUAGGGAAACUUACGCUAAUACCGCAUACGACCUACGGUUGAAAGCAGGGGAUCUUCGGACCUUGUGCGAUUGAAUGAGCCGAUGUCGGAUUUGCUAGUUGGCGGGGUAAAGGCCCACCAAGGCGACGAUCCGUAGCUGGUCUGAGAGGAUGGUCAGCCACACUGGAACUGAGACACGGACCAGACUCCUACGGGAGGCAGCAGAGGGGAAUAUUGGACAGGGGGCGGGAGCCUAGUCCAGACAUCCCGCGUCGGUGGAAGAGGCCUUGGGGUUGUAAAGCCCUUCUGUUGGGAAAGAAAAGCAGCAGGUUAUUACCCCGCUGUUCUGACGGUACCCAAAGAAUAAGCACCGGCUAACUUCGUG